CUGAAGUCUAAUGUUUUUCUCUGGGACACCUGUGAAUUGAUGAACUAGUGUCAGAUCUGUUUUUCGUUCCGCUGAAAUGAGGAGUACUCAAAAGAAGAGUAAUAGAGGAAGUGAUCUUUAUCCAGGAAAAGGGUGUGCACAUGUUCUCAAGACCGUGGGGUCAGUGAAUGUUAGAAGCCCAAGUGGUUUCAGAGGUAAACAUCAUCGGGGGUGUGUCUGAACUAAGGGGAAGCUGAUGCAACCUGUGUACCUGAGUCAUCCUGUUUUGUAACCAUCACCUGCAAAACAGUGUUGAAAAACCCCACGGUGACCCCAGCCCAAGCAACAGGAAGCCCAGCUCUGCAUUUUGUUGUUUCAGCCCCUGGAGCACAUUGAGUUUGGAAAGUUGUGUUCACUAGAUGUCUGUAGUUCCAACAAUCACAAGCAUAUUUUUAAAACUUUAAAAAACAAUCUUAAUCUAUUUCACGUCUUGUGUCUCUUUCCAUUGCUGCCCACUCCCACUCAUUCCCUCCUCUUCCGAGAUGCUCUCGCCUUUGCUGUCAGCCAGGUCUGAGCUGCUCUCAGAGCCUUGGAAUGGGUGUGUCACAGGCCAGAGAGAAUUUCGGGCUGAACCGUUAUAGUCAAGCCAACAAGAAGAAGACAUCAAUAAUGUUCCUGUCUAGCCUGUAGCCGCCGCAGUGAAGGAAGAGGGCAGCUAGAACGUAAGUGCACUUCUUUACCAGCCCCCCACGGAGCUGGCAACAGUAAUGUGUCAUCUUCAGUUGCCUUCUAGUAACCGACCAUUAGCUGUGGCCUGACCAGAACCCCCUCCUGUGUGUCCAGAAUGGUCCUCUGCCCCCCACCUUAUCCUUUGGACGGGUUUAUUCCUAGUGGCCUUGUGGUUUGCAUCUCUGUGCACCAGGGAGAAAGCAUGUUUAAUGAAAACCACACAAUUCAUCCUGACAGCCUUGGCCCAUCUCUCUCUUGAAGUGAGAAGCUGCUCGUGACUUUUUAUUCUAUUUUCAGUUUGUGUGUUUUGGUUGCAAAAGCAGGCAUUCCAUUGAAUUUGUGUGUGUCUGCAAAAACAGAUCAUCCUCCAAGAGCACAUACUCCCCU
RNAcentral lists this long non-coding RNA (1095 nucleotides) under Fukomys damarensis (Damara mole-rat). RNAcentral's name for it is "lncRNA (ENSFDAG00000026146.1)". Lineage: Eukaryota; Metazoa; Chordata; Mammalia; Rodentia; Bathyergidae. The record is from RNAcentral.